Molecule: non-coding RNA, 165 nt
Filed under: bovine gut metagenome
Source: RNAcentral
CGUCGCGAGGCGGAAUCUGAAGGAAGUUGGAGGCAAAACUCGGGCCCGACGAACAGGAAUCAUGUCAGGCCGUAAGCGAGGGCAAGACUGCCAGACAAGCCAAAGCCCAAUAGCUGCACGGAAUCGCUUGCGGUAAACAUGGCGGGUAUAAGAGUGAAAGAAUGU